This 60-nucleotide transfer RNA is filed under the name Cherax destructor. Its description in RNAcentral is "tRNA-Arg". The record is from RNAcentral. Lineage: Eukaryota; Metazoa; Arthropoda; Malacostraca; Decapoda; Parastacidae.
AAUUAGAAAGCGAAGAUUGCAUUUAGUUUCGGCCUAAACUUUGGUUAGUACCUCUAAUUU